RNAcentral lists this ribosomal RNA (301 nucleotides) under uncultured bacterium. RNAcentral's name for it is "partial 16S ribosomal RNA". It matches the Rfam family "Bacterial small subunit ribosomal RNA", at positions 509 to 807 of the family's 1533-position model. The record is from RNAcentral.
CAGUAGCCGCGGUAAUACGUAGGGUGCGAGCGUUAAUCGGAAUUACUGGGCGUAAAGCGUGCGCAGCCGGUUAUGUAAGACAGUUGUGAAAUCCCCGGGCUCAACCUGGGAAUUGCAUCUGUGACUGCAUAGCUAGAGUACGGUAGAGGGGGAUGGAAUUCCGCGUGUAGCAGUGAAAUGCGUAGAUAUGCGGAGGAACACCGAUGGCGAAGGCAAUCCCCUGGACCCGUACUGACGCUCAUGCACGAAAGCGUGGGGAGCAAACAGGAUUAGAUACCCGAGUAGUCCCUGUCUCUUAUAC